RNAcentral lists this long non-coding RNA (983 nucleotides) under Homo sapiens (human). RNAcentral's name for it is "non-protein coding lnc-TTC13-2:1". The stretch from base 477 to 572 matches the Rfam family "mir-1182 microRNA precursor family". Lineage: Eukaryota; Metazoa; Chordata; Mammalia; Primates; Hominidae. The record is from RNAcentral.
GCCAUGGAAGCUGCUGAUUGUUCUUGAAUUUAAAGUGGAGAAUAAGGGACCACAAAUUGCAGGGUUUGAGCAUUCCAUGUUUUUCUUAAAUGAGCCUGUCUGCAUUUUCAAAACGUGUGCUUUCAAAAGAGAGCUGUAUUUUCUGAAUCCAGCUGUGAAUGUGGAGACCAGCCGUCCUCCAAGGGCAUGCGAGAACACACCGUUGAGAUCCAGGCUGCUUCUGCUCGGAGAGUGGCUUGCUCGGCGGCUCCCCAGCCACUCUUUUUCUGGAAGGGUUGGUCUCCGCCAGCUGGACAUGUCCUUGCUCUGCCAACUGUACAGCCUCUACGAGUCGAUUCAGGAGUACAAGGGGGCAUGCCAGGCAGCCUCCAGCCCAGACUGCACUUACGCUCUGGAGAACGGCUUCUUCGAUGAAGAGGAGGAAUAUUUCCAGGAGCAGAACUCCCUGCACGACAGGAGGGACCGAGGCCCUCCUCGGGACUUGUCACUGCCUGUCUCCUCCCUCUCCAGCAGCGACUGGAUUCUGGAGUCCAUCUAGAGGGUCUUGGGAGGGAUGUGACUGUUGGGAAGCCCUUCCUACUGGACACGCUGUCAUCAUUUGCUGCUUCUCUUGCAAGAAAGCACCUCCGUUGUGGACGGUCCUCGGGCACAGGGGAUGAGCGCUACCAGUUUCAUUUGUAGGCAGGGAGUUCUCCGCGGAUGCAUGGUGGCAGUCUGCUUUGAUGGCAGCAGUUUCUGCUUAGGUGACCUAGAGGUCCUCAGCAGUAUCCUCCACACCUAUUUAUUGAGGUGCACCUGCUGGGGAUUCAUAAUGAGAAUAUAACAAGAGGAUCUCGGUGAAAGGCCUUAGUGGGUGUUUUGUGUGAGGUGGCUUGUAGCUAGCUACUUCCUUACAGAUGGUAGAGUAUUCCAAUCCUCUUUGUGUUAGGGUUCUUGCUUCCAGUUUGGGAUGUAUUAAAACCACCAUUUCACUGCUUCCCUUC